CCUACGGGUGACAGCAGUCGAGAAUCAUUCACAAUGGGGGAAACCCUGAUGGUGCGACGCCGCGUGGGGGAAUGAAGGUCUUCGGAUUGUAAACCCCUGUCAUGUGGGAGCAAAUUAAAAAGAUCGUACCACACGAGGAAGAGACGGCUAACUCUGUGCCAGCAGCCGCGGUAAUACAGAGGUCUCAAGCGUUGUUCGGAAUCACUGGGCGUAAAGCGUGCGUAGGCUGUUUCGUAAGUCGUGUGUGAAAGGCGCGGGCUCAACCCGCGGACGGCACAUGAUACUGCGAGACUAGAGUAAUGGAGGGGGAACCGGAAUUCUCGGUGUAGCAGUGAAAUGCGUAGAUAUCGAGAGGAACACUCGUGGCGAAGGCGGGUUCCUGGACAUUAACUGACGCUGAGGCACGAAGGCCAGGGGAGCGAAAGGGAUUAGAUACCCCGGUAGUC
Molecule: ribosomal RNA, 446 nt
Filed under: uncultured bacterium
Lineage: Bacteria
Description: partial 16S ribosomal RNA
Rfam family: Bacterial small subunit ribosomal RNA
Source: RNAcentral